RNAcentral lists this ribosomal RNA (402 nucleotides) under bacterium. RNAcentral's name for it is "partial 16S ribosomal RNA". It matches the Rfam family "Bacterial small subunit ribosomal RNA", at positions 355 to 776 of the family's 1533-position model. The record is from RNAcentral.
UGGGGAAUUUUGCACAAUGGGGGAAACCCUGAUGCAGCGACGCCGCGUGAUUUAGAAGGCCUUCGGGUUGUAAAAAUCUUUUCUAUGGGAAGAAAAUGACAGUACCAUAGGAAUAAGGACCGGCUAAUUACGUGCCAGCAGCCGCGGUAAUACGUAAGGUCCGAGCGUUGUCCGGAAUCAUUGGGCGUAAAGGGUACGUAGGCGGGUAAGCAAGUUAGAAGUGAAAUCCUAUAGCUCAACUAUAGUAAGCUUUUAAAACUGCUCAUCUUGAGGUAUGGAAGGGAAAAUGGAAUUCCUAGUGUAGCGGUGAAAUGCGCAGAUAUUAGGAGGAAUACCGGUGGCGAAGGCGACUUUCUGGCCAUAACCUGACGCUGAGGUACGAAAGCGUGGGUAGCAAACAGG